GACGAACGCUGGCGGCGUGCUUAACACAUGCGAGUCGAGCGGAAAGGCCCUUCGGGGUACUCGAGCGGCGAACGGGUGAGUAACACGUGAGUAACCUGCCCCAGACUUUGGGAUAACCCUCGGAAACGGGGGCUAAUACCGGAUACGACACAGCUUCGCAUGGGGUCUGUGUGGAAAGUUUUUCGGUUUGGGAUGGGCUCGCGGCCUAUCAGCUUGUUGGUGGGGUGAUGGCCUACCAAGGCGACGACGGGUAGCCGGCCUGAGAGGGCGACCGGCCACACUGGGACUGAGAAACGGCCCAGACUCCUACGGGAGGCAGCAGUGGGGAAUAUUGCACAAUGGGCGGAAGCCUGAUGCAGCGACGCCGCGUGAGGGAUGACGGCCUUCGGGUUGUAAACCUCUUUCAGCAGGGACGAAGCGUAAGUGACGGUACCUGCAGAAGAAGCGCCGGCCAACUACGUG
This 462-nucleotide ribosomal RNA is filed under the name uncultured bacterium. Its description in RNAcentral is "partial 16S ribosomal RNA". It matches the Rfam family "Bacterial small subunit ribosomal RNA", at positions 28 to 507 of the family's 1533-position model. The record is from RNAcentral.